Clupea harengus (Atlantic herring) is the source of this 2104-nucleotide long non-coding RNA. Lineage: Eukaryota; Metazoa; Chordata; Actinopteri; Clupeiformes; Clupeidae. The record is from Ensembl.
GGCACUGUUGGAUCUUCCGUCCAGCACUGAAAGUUGUGGUCACGUGAAUGCAGAUGAUUUAGAGCUUCUCUUUUCUCCGGGUAGAGGAGGAAGUAAGUCUGCUCUUUUGUCAAUCUAACCACACCUCAUUGUCUACAGAACGUUUCACUCUCAAAAAGGUAAAGGGCUUCAGAUUUUUUCUCUCUUACACACACCCAUGUCAUUUCAGUCCUUUCUGGCACUGUUGGAUCUUCCGUCCAGAACUGAAAGUUUUGGUCACGUGAAUGCAGCUGAUUUAGAGCUUCUUUUUUUCUCCGGUUAUAGAGAAGUCAGUUUGCUCUUUUGUCAAUCUAACCACACCUCAUCCUCGUCUACAGAAAAUUUCACUCUCAAAAAGGAAGUACGCUUCCUGCCCGGGACAACUUUAUGGUUUGGGGAGGUUCGCGAGGAACAUGGUUUUGCCCUCGCCAAUUCAAUUAACUAUGUUAUAAGGUUUCCAAUGGUGAAUGUGACCUAUAACUGUUGUAAUCAUUAUUUUGAAGGCCUGACUUUGUUCUAAUUAUUAUUUCUUGUUCUAAUUACUUCUUUGGGAGAGGGAGGCUACAUCAAGAUGUCCCAGAAUCAGAACAACCAGUGUGGCAUUCAGGGACAUGCACAGGAGGGGGCUUAGGUUGCCCGGGAAACUGCCCAUCUGCCCUCCUCGACUCAAUCUGCCCCUCCGAAAGGAAAAAAAAAAAGUUUUAAAAUAGUAUAACGGCUGCAGAAUUUCAUGUAGGCCUAGAUUUAAAAAAUCACCACCCGAAAUAUUUCAUAAAGUAGCCUAUGGCACCUGAGGGCCUACAUUUUUGCCUCAAGAGACGGUCACAGUUGCCUUGUGUGACUUAAUCGAUGCGCAACUGCUUUGACGUAGUAAGAAAAGGUGAGUUUUAAGUUGUAGAAAUGAAUAACAAACGAACAAUCAUCAUCAAGUUAUAUGAAAUGCAAGGCUCAGUUAGCCUAAACUAAAGAAUCAGAGAGUGGAGAAUCAGUCAGCUAGCUUGCCUGCCAGACAACCAGCCUGUUAUCACAUGCUAUUUUUUUGGUAGGAAAACUAAGCUACAUGUCUGCUGAUGGUUAGUUUCUAACAUUUCAUUUUAACAAGAAGAAUAAAUGAUGGAAGAAAUGCAUCACAUGAAUUAUUUCAUUCAAAAUGGUUAAAUGCCUAAAUCCUAUCACUGUUUUGGGUGUAAGUCUAGAGUGCGGUAGAAGCUAGAAUGCCCAUGGAAAAGAGAAGGAUUCAGGAGAGAGAGAAGCCGCUAAAGGAGGCAGCAAAGGGGAGCACAUCUUUGCAGAGUUGGUUACAAAAAAGCAAACCAGCAGGUGAGGCAGAGACAUUGCAUCAUGAUAAAGAUGACAAUGUGUCGGCUAAUGAAUUAAUGUGAAACAGGCUCAUAUUUUCAGACUAAUAUUUUAAGUAUACUAAUGGCAAUUUAUUAUAAUUACAUUACAUUUAAGAUGAGGAGCAAUCACAAGCCUCCAGACCAGAGAAAAAUGUGGACCAGUAGACACAUAGGACCGGUAGACCUAAGUGCUGAUCACCAAAUAUGAGAUGAAAGGACCAUGCUAGAAAGUACAGGGAUAAAGAGCCAUAUGCUAAAUAAUUUUAAUCUUAAAACAAGUAUAGGCUUUUUUAGAGAUCCUUUCAAAGAUCUUGCCUGAGCAGAACAGAAAUAACAUAACACUGCUUCUAGUGGGCCUUAUAAUAGUAAUGAUAAUGGUAAUAACAAUAAUAUAUAAUUGGACAGAUGAUGAGCCAAGUACAUCAACUGCAGACAAAGUCAAAGAGCCAGAGCCAGACGAGAACAGAACCGACUUGGAAAACAGGAAAGGAGAGACGACACAGACAGGAUGCCAACAAGGGAGGAUAUUGAGAUUAAGAGUGAGACAGAAUUUUUUGCUGAGAUUGAGUAGUCCAACAGAUCCAGCUCAUAUACACAGCAAUAUUCUUAAAUACAAUCCGGCCUUUAUCAAAUGUUCUCAUUCAGUCGGGCCUUGACGUCCUAUUGUGAAGUUCCCACAAAAUGCAGAAGGGCACUCUUUUCAAGCCCACUGGUAUGAUGAUGACCCUGGCUGGAAUGUUCUCCAC